GGAGAUAGCUGGUUCUCCCCGAAAGCUAUUUAGGUAGCGCCUCGUGAAUUCAUCUCCGGGGGUAGAGCACUGUUUCGGCAAGGGGGUCAUCCCGACUUACCAACCCGAUGCAAACUGCGAAUACCGGAGAAUGUUAUCACGGGAGACACACGGCGGGUGCUAACGUCCGUCGUGAAGAGGGAAACAACCCAGACCGCCAGCUAAGGUCCCAAAGUCAUGGUUAAGUGGGAAACGAUGUGGGAAGGCCCAGACAGCCAGGAUGUUGGCUUAGAAGCAGCCAUCAUUUAAAGAAAGCGUAAUAGCUCACUGGUCGAGUCGGCCUGCGCGGAAGAUGUAACGGGGCUAAACCAUGCACCGAAGCUGCGGCAGCGACACUAUGUGUUGUUGGGUAGGGGAGCGUUCUGUAAGCCUGUGAAGGUGUACUGUGAGGUAUGCUGGAGGUAUCAGAAGUGCGAAUGCUGACAUAAGUAACGAUAAAGCGGGUGAAAAGCCCGCUCGCCGGAAGACCAAGGGUUCCUGUCCAACGUUAAUCGGGGCAGGGUGAGUCGACCCCUAAGGCGAGGCCGAAAGGCGUAGUCGAUGGGAAACAGGUUAAUAUUCCUGUACUUGGUGUUACUGCGAAGGGGGGACGGAGAAGGCUAUGUUGGCCGGGCGACGGUUGUCCCGGUUUAAGCGUGUAGGCUGAUUUUCCAGGCAAAUCCGGAAAAUCAAGGCUGAGGCGUGAUGACGAGGCACUACGGUGCUGAAGCAACAAAUGCCCUGCUUCCAGGAAAAGCCUCUAAGCAUCAGGUAACAUCAAAUCGUACCCCAAACCGACACAGGUGGUCAGGUAGAGAAUACCAAGGCGCUUGAGAGAACUCGGGUGAAGGAACUAGGCAAAAUGGUGCCGUAACUUCGGGAGAAGGCACGCUGAUAUGUAGGUGAAGCGACUUGCUCGUGGAGCUGAAAUCAGUCGAAGAUACCAGCUGGCUGCAACUGUUUAUUAAAAACACAGCACUGUGCAAACACGAAAGUGGACGUAUACGGUGUGACGCCUGCCCGGUGCCGGAAGGUUAAUUGAUGGGGUUAGCGGUAACGCGAAGCUCUUGAUCGAAGCCCCGGUAAACGGCGGCCGUAACUAUAACGGUCCUAAGGUAGCGAAAUUCCUUGUCGGGUAAGUUCCGACCUGCACGAAUGGCGUAAUGAUGGCCAGGCUGUCUCCACCCGAGACUCAGUGAAAUUGAACUCGCUGUGAAGAUGCAGUGUACCCGCGGCAAGACGGAAAGACCCCGUGAACCUUUACUAUAGCUUGACACUGAACAUUGAGCCUUGAUGUGUAGGAUAGGUGGGAGGCUUUGAAGUGUGGACGCCAGUCUGCAUGGAGCCGACCUUGAAAUACCACCCUUUAAUGUUUGAUGUUCUAACGUUGGCCCGUUAUCCGGGUUGCGGACAGUGUCUGGUGGGUAGUUUGACUGGGGCGGUCUCCUCCUAAAGAGUAACGGAGGAGCACGAAGGUUGGCUAAUCCUGGUCGGACAUCAGGAGGUUAGUGCAAUGGCAUAAGCCAGCUUGACUGCGAGCGUGACGGCGCGAGCAGGUGCGAAAGCAGGUCAUAGUGAUCCGGUGGUUCUGAAUGGAAGGGCCAUCGCUCAACGGAUAAAAGGUACUCCGGGGAUAACAGGCUGAUACCGCCCAAGAGUUCAUAUCGACGGCGGUGUUUGGCACCUCGAUGUCGGCUCAUCACAUCCUGGGGCUGAAGUAGGUCCCAAGGGUAUGGCUGUUCGCCAUUUAAAGUGGUACGCGAGCUGGGUUUAGAACGUCGUGAGACAGUUCGGUCCCUAUCUGCCGUGGGCGCUGGAGAACUGAGGGGGGCUGCUCCUAGUACGAGAGGACCGGAGUGGACGCAUCACUGGUGUUCGGGUUGUCAUGCCAAUGGCACUGCCCGGUAGCUAAAUGCGGAAGAGAUAAGUGCUGAAAGCAUCUAAGCACGAAACUUGCCCCG
RNAcentral lists this ribosomal RNA (1979 nucleotides) under Escherichia coli. RNAcentral's name for it is "partial 23S ribosomal RNA". It matches the Rfam family "Bacterial large subunit ribosomal RNA", at positions 841 to 2801 of the family's 2925-position model. Lineage: Bacteria; Pseudomonadati; Pseudomonadota; Gammaproteobacteria; Enterobacterales; Enterobacteriaceae. The record is from RNAcentral.